GAUGAACGCUGGCGGCGUGCCUAACACAUGCAAGUCGAGCGAACGGACGCGACGCUUGCUUUUUUGAUGUUAGCGGCGGACGGGUGAGUCACAUGUGUAUCACCUACUUAUAUGACUGGUAUCUUCUCGGGACUCCGGAGCUUACACCGGAUAAUCUUCUGCACCGUAUGGUUCAUAAGUGAAUUACGGCCUUUCUGUCACUUCUAGCUGGUUCUGGGCUGCAUUGGCUAGUUGGUACGGUAACGGCUUACCACGGCAACGAUGCAUAGCCGACCUGUGGGGGUGAUCGGCGACACUGGAACGGAGACACGGACAAGACUCCUACGGGAGGCAGCAGUAGGGUAUGGUCCGCAAUAGGCGGGAACCUGGCAGAGCGACGCGGAGUGAGAGGUGGAGGUCUUCGGAUCGUAAAACUCUGUUAUUAGGGAAAAACAGAUUUGUAAGUAGCUGAACACAUAGUGACGGUACCUAAUCAAAAAGCCACGGCUAACUACGUG
RNAcentral lists this ribosomal RNA (497 nucleotides) under uncultured bacterium. RNAcentral describes it as "partial 16S ribosomal RNA". It matches the Rfam family "Bacterial small subunit ribosomal RNA", at positions 28 to 507 of the family's 1533-position model. The record is from RNAcentral.